CCUACGGGAGGCAGCAGUGAGGAAUCUUGCACAAUGGGGGAAACCCUGAUGCAGCGACGCCGCGUGAGCGAUGAAGCCCUUCGGGGCGUAAAGCUCUUUCGGCAGGAACGAAAUCCGACGGUACCUGCAGAAGAAGCUGCGGCUAACUACGUGCCAGCAGCCGCGGUAAUACGUAGGCAGCGAGCGUUGUUCGGAGUUACUGGGCGUAAAGCGUGCGUAGGCGGUUCGGCAAGUCCGGUGUGAAAUCUCCCGGCUCAACCGGGAGGGUGCGCCGGAAACUGCGGAGCUAGAGUGCGGGAGAGGAGAGCGGAAUUCCUGGUGUAGCGGUGAAAUGCGUAGAGAUCAGGAGGAACACCGGUGGUGCAGACGGCUCUCUGGACCGUGACUGACGCUGAGGCACGAAAGCGUGGGGAGCAAACAGGAUUAGAUCCCCCUGUAGU
RNAcentral lists this ribosomal RNA (440 nucleotides) under uncultured Bryobacterales bacterium. RNAcentral describes it as "partial 16S ribosomal RNA". It matches the Rfam family "Bacterial small subunit ribosomal RNA", at positions 338 to 794 of the family's 1533-position model. Lineage: Bacteria; Pseudomonadati; Acidobacteriota; Terriglobia; Bryobacterales. The record is from RNAcentral.